AGUCGUAACAAGGUUUCCGUAGGUGAACCUGCGGAAGGAUCAUUACCAAUCCAAAAUCUUGAAAAAAAAAACAUUGUGCACCUAAACAGUACCUUUGGGUUUUUUUAUUUUUAUUUUUAUAUUCAUCUCUUCUUCUUUUUUUAUUUUUGGUAGUAAUUUAUUAUUAUUAAAAAAUGAAAAGAAAAGGAAAAUGAAUUGAAAUAACAAAGAAAAAAACCCAUAUUAAAACUAUAUCACCCUAUAACCAAAUGUUUGAAAUUGGUUUUUCUUCUUUUUUUGGAAACUUUAAAAGAUUAAAAAUUUUGUUGGAUUUAUAUAAAUAAAAUACAACUUUUGGCGGUGGAUCUCUUGGCUCAU
Molecule: unclassified non-coding RNA, 357 nt
Filed under: fungal sp.
Lineage: Eukaryota; Fungi
Description: partial internal transcribed spacer region
Rfam family: Eukaryotic small subunit ribosomal RNA (bases 1-45)
Source: RNAcentral